Molecule: ribosomal RNA, 497 nt
Filed under: uncultured bacterium
Lineage: Bacteria
Description: partial 16S ribosomal RNA
Rfam family: Bacterial small subunit ribosomal RNA
Source: RNAcentral
GAUGAACGCUGGCGGCGUGCCUAAUACAUGCAAGUCGAGCGAACAGACGAGGAGCUUGCUCCUCUGACGUUAGCGGCGGACGGGUGAGUAACACGUGGGUAACCUACCUAUAAGACUGGGAUAACUUCGGGAAACCGGAGCUAAUACCGGAUAAUAUAUUGAACCGCAUGGUUCAAUAGUGAAAGACGGCUUUGCUGUCACUUAUAGAUGGAUCCGCGCCGCAUUAGCUAGUUGGUAAGGUAACGGCUUACCAAGGCAACGAUGCGUAGCCGACCUGAGAGGGUGAUCGGCCACACUGGAACUGAGACACGGUCCAGACUCCUACGGGAGGCAGCAGUAGGGAAUCUUCCGCAAAGGGCGAAAGCCUGACGGAGCAACGCCGCGUGAGUGAUGAAGGUCUUCGGAUCGUAAAACUCUGUUAUUAGGGAAGAACAAAUGUGUAAGUAACUAUGCACGUCUUGACGGUACCUAAUCAGAAAGCCACGGCUAACUACGUG